GUGGGGAAUCUUCCGCAAUGGACGAAAGUCUGACGGAGCAACGCCGCGUGAGUGAAGAAGGUUUUCGGAUCGUAAAGCUCUUUCGUUAGGGACGAACGUGCUCUUUGUGAAUAAUGAGGAGUAAUGACGGUACCUAAAUAAGAAGCCACGGCUAACUACGUGCCAGCAGCCGCGGUAAUACGUAGGUGGCAAGCGUUGUCCGGAAUUAUUGGGCGUAAAGCGCGCGCAGGCGGGAUAUCAAGUCUGUCUUAAAAGUGCGAGGCUCAACCUCGUGAGGGGACAGAAACUGGUAUUCUUGAGUGUCGGAGAGGAAAGUGGAAUUCCAAGUGUAGCGGUAAAAUGCGUAGAGAUUUGGAAGAACACCAGUGGCGAAGGCGACUUUCUGGACGAUGUCUGACGCUGAGGCGCGAAAGCUAGGGGAGCGAACGGGAUUAGAAACCCUUGUAGUCC
This 450-nucleotide ribosomal RNA is filed under the name uncultured bacterium. RNAcentral describes it as "partial 16S ribosomal RNA". It matches the Rfam family "Bacterial small subunit ribosomal RNA", at positions 354 to 796 of the family's 1533-position model. The record is from RNAcentral.